Molecule: long non-coding RNA, 149 nt
Organism: Hibiscus syriacus
Lineage: Eukaryota; Viridiplantae; Streptophyta; Magnoliopsida; Malvales; Malvaceae
Exons: 3
Source: RefSeq, a predicted model, not a curated record
GUCAUCACAAGAAGGUGAUGAAACAAGGCCAUUACCUGGUUUCCGAAUCCUAUCCCAACACCGAGCAUGAUUCGACCGAAGAGGAGCAUUGCCAGAUUUUGAGCUCCGGCAUUGGUACUUGCCCCAACAAGAAAGCUGAGUCCCCCACA